Molecule: ribosomal RNA, 468 nt
Filed under: uncultured bacterium
Lineage: Bacteria
Description: partial 16S ribosomal RNA
Rfam family: Bacterial small subunit ribosomal RNA
Source: RNAcentral
GACGAACGCUGGCGGCGUGCUUAACACAUGCAAGUCGAACGGAAAGGCCCUGCUUUUGUGGGGUGGUCGAGUGGCGACCGGGUGAGUAACACGUAGGUAACCUGCCCUUGACUUUGGGAUAACUUAAGGAAACUGGGGCUCAUACCGGAUAGGAGCUCCUGCUGCAUGGUGGGGGCUGGAAAGUUUCGGCGGUUGGGGAUGGACUCGCGGCCUAUCAGCUUGAUGGGUGGGUAGUGGCUUACCAAGGUUUUGCCAGGUGGCCGGCCUGCGCGGAUGACCGGCCACGUUGGGACUGAAAUGCGGCCCGGACUCCUACGGUAGGCAACGGAGGGGAAUAGUGCACUAUGGGCGGAGCCCUAAUGCAGCAACGCCGCGUGGGGGAUGACGGCCUGCGGGUUGUAAACCGCAUUCGCCUGUGACGAAGCGUGAGUGACGGUAAUGGGUAAAGAAGCACCGGCUAACUACGUG